CCUACGGGAGGCAGCAGUGGGGAAUAUUGGUCAAUGGGCGCAAGCCUGACCCAGCAACGCCGCGUGAAGGAAGAAGGCUUUCGGGUUGUAAACUUCUUUUAUCAGGGACGAAACAAGUGACGGUACCUGAUGAAUAAGCCACGGCUAACUACGUGCCAGCAGCCGCUGUAAUCCGUAGGUGGCAAGCGUUAUCCGGAUUUACUGGGUGUAAAGGGCGUGUAGGGGGGAGGGUAAGUCAGAUGUGAAACCUAUGGGCUCAACCCAUAGACUGGAUUUGAAACUGUAAGUCUUGAGUGCUGGAGAGGCAAGCGGAAUUCGGGGUGUAGCGGUGAAAUGCGUAGAUAUAAGGAGGAACACCAGUGGCGAAGGCGGAUUGCUGGACAGUAACUGACGCUGAGGCGCGAAAGCGUGGGGAGCAAACAGGAUUAGAUACCCUAGUAGUC
RNAcentral lists this ribosomal RNA (443 nucleotides) under uncultured bacterium. RNAcentral describes it as "partial 16S ribosomal RNA". It matches the Rfam family "Bacterial small subunit ribosomal RNA", at positions 338 to 795 of the family's 1533-position model. The record is from RNAcentral.